GGUUUAAAGGGAUAUAAAUACGUAAACACAACAUACUCGACAUAAACCGAGUAUUUUCCGGACAUUUAUUGUUUUAUUUAACACUCCAACUAUAAUACACGAUUACUUUGUUUACAGGAGUCUGAGGAAGGCUAAAAAGAAAUGCUGCAGUUUGAGACAUUGCUUCUGAGACAGCUGCAGAAACAGCAGAACAGGAAUGAGUUCUGUGACAUUGUCCUACACACUCAAGAAUGACCCUCCAUGCAGGCGCAGGCGAAGAGGCCGUCCUCGUGGAUGUGCACUUCCUCAUGCUUCCCGCAGUUUCUCAACAGUGACAUCAUCCAAACAGGACAUGGUGGAUUCUACAGAACUUGACCUGUUACACACUGUGAUCCCCACACCAACAGCUCAAAUGGAGCCCGUUCAGCCCAUUGACGCACUCCUAGAUGACAUCAUGACAGGCCUUCAUUUUCUACCCUCAGCAGAAAAUCAAACCAAUCAACAUGGCUUCAUGAGCAUCACUUCCACUUCCAGUGGUGCACCCAUUUCGAAAGCUAUGUAUCCCAACAGUCAUUCCAUAAAACCCACAGAUCCA
Neoarius graeffei (lesser salmon catfish) is the source of this 574-nucleotide long non-coding RNA. RefSeq lists it as uncharacterized. The record is from RefSeq and is a predicted model, not a curated record. NCBI's taxonomy places the organism in Eukaryota, Metazoa, Chordata, Actinopteri, Siluriformes, Ariidae. The transcript has 3 exons.